GACGAACGCUGGCGGCGUGCUUAACACAUGCAAGUCGAACGGAAAGGCCCUGCUUUUGUGGGGUGCUCGAGUGGCGAACGGGUGAGUAACACGUGAGUAACCUGCCCUUGACUUUGGGAUAACUUCAGGAAACUGGGGCUAAUACCGGAUAGGAGCUCCUGCUGCAUGGUGGGGGUUGGAAAGUUUCGGCGGUUGGGGAUGGACUCGCGGCUUAUCAGCUUGUUGGUGGGGUAGUGGCUUACCAAGGCUUUGACGGGUAGCCGGCCUGAGAGGGUGACCGGCCACAUUGGGACUGAGAUACGUCCCAGACUCCUACGGGAGGCAGCAGUGGGGAAUAUUGCACAAUGGGCGGAAGCCUGAUGCAGCAACGCCGCGUGCGGGAUGACGGCCUUCGGGUUGUAAACCGCUUUCGCCUGUGACGAAGCGUGAGUGACGGUAAUGGGUAAAGAAGCACCGGCUAACUACGU
This 467-nucleotide ribosomal RNA is filed under the name uncultured bacterium. RNAcentral describes it as "partial 16S ribosomal RNA". It matches the Rfam family "Bacterial small subunit ribosomal RNA", at positions 28 to 506 of the family's 1533-position model. The record is from RNAcentral.